This 1138-nucleotide long non-coding RNA is filed under the name Triticum aestivum (bread wheat). RNAcentral describes it as "long non-coding RNA (TAES_LNC027746)". Lineage: Eukaryota; Viridiplantae; Streptophyta; Magnoliopsida; Poales; Poaceae. The record is from RNAcentral.
GUUAUGACUAUGCCGUAGGUGACAUGCGGAAAGGUGACCAAAGAGUACAUGAAGAAUUCUUGCUAUCAACUAGGGCUGGAUGCCCCCAGGAAGAAUGCCGUGAGUCAACUUUAAUGACUAAUAUGUUAAUUUCUUCUAGCUACACAAUAUGAGAUAUUGCUUCUUCAUUAACGCUUACUGCUACGUAGUAAGAUGACAAUGGGAUUUUGUUUCUCGAGUUGGCACUCAGUAGUAGAAGUGGUUUAUACUUCGAAUAGUUGAGCAGAAAACUGGCGUGUCAUGGCUCCUAAUGUUACAGAGCAAGUGGACAGACUCUAUCCCCCCCUCUCUAGACUUUCUUUUCUAGGUUUGGUUGGGUACAAAAGGCUAGAUUCUGGUAUAUAUUCAUUGACGCAGAAGCUAGAAGCUCAUUGAUAUUAUUUUUCUUGCCAAACAUACAAAGGAUUGUGCAUAAAACUUCCAGCUUGAAAUCUACAUCUGGGUUACGAGCUUUCUCCAGAAUUUAAGAACAUCGUUGUGGACAUUUAGAUAUUUUUGUAGUAUUCUUCAGGGUCUUGACUUAAUUUCUUUUCACACAGUAAAAUAUUAAUUAUAUGUUGUACAGUAGUAGUAGUGUGCAUACUAUGUACUCAAGUUUAUUAAAGUCAAAGCAGGAAAGGAGAUCAGAGUUCAGGGCAUGUUCAGCUCCACCCAUGCAUCAAGGGAAAUAUAUACGACGCAAAUGAUAACGUGUUCUGCUAGAUGACAUAGUACAAGGUUCAGCAGCGACGACAUGAUCUCAAACAUGCCACUGGCACCUAUACUAAACUUGAUUUGUUCUCUCAAUAUGGAGUGUUAAUCUUCUCCUCUGCAUAGUACAAAUAUUCCCUUAGCUCUAAGGAUAUAGACAUGGUGAGUUUGGUUGGAGGAAAUAAGAAUGAUUUAUAAAAGUAAUAAAAGGGAGAUAAUGCUGCUUGAUGUGUAUGGGGAUUCUGAAGAUAUAUAUGAUUGAUACUUUCCCUGCAUGAUAUAGAUUAGUCGAGGUUUGAGAAGUUCUCUAUAAAAGAACUAUGUGGGGUUCUAUUAUUGUAUUAUUUCUAACACGUAAAAUAUUUAGGCCCCCGUUGCAUUGCACGGGCAAUCAGGUCAAAUGUGGCAG